This 405-nucleotide ribosomal RNA is filed under the name bacterium. RNAcentral's name for it is "partial 16S ribosomal RNA". It matches the Rfam family "Bacterial small subunit ribosomal RNA", at positions 355 to 776 of the family's 1533-position model. The record is from RNAcentral.
UAAGGAAUAUUGCGCAAUGGGGGAAACCCUGACGCAGCAACGCCGCGUGGAGGAUGACACUUUUCGGAGCGUAAACUCCUUUUAUCAGGAAAGAAUAAUGACGGUACCUGAUGAAUAAGCACCGGCUAACUCCGUGCCAGCAGCCGCGGUAAUACGGGGGGUGCAAGCGUUACUCGGAAUCACUGGGCGUAAAGGACGCGUAGGCGGAUUAUCAAGUCUUUUGUGAAAUCUAGUGGCUUAACCACUAAACUGCUUAGGAAACUGAUAGGCUAGAGUAGAGGAGAGGUAGAUGGAAUUCUUGGUGUAGGGGUAAAAUCCGUAGAGAUCAAGAAGAAUACCCAUUGCGAAAGCGAUUUGCUGGAACCUAACUGACGCUGAGGCGUGAAAGCGUGGGUAGCAAACAGG